Molecule: non-coding RNA, 30 nt
Filed under: Mus musculus (house mouse)
Lineage: Eukaryota; Metazoa; Chordata; Mammalia; Rodentia; Muridae
Source: RNAcentral
UCCUCGUUUUCUCCACAAGGAGUCCAAAGA